Molecule: unclassified non-coding RNA, 407 nt
Filed under: Ascomycota sp.
Lineage: Eukaryota; Fungi; Ascomycota
Description: partial contains small subunit ribosomal RNA, internal transcribed spacer 1, and 5.8S ribosomal RNA
Rfam family: Eukaryotic small subunit ribosomal RNA (bases 1-47)
Source: RNAcentral
AAAGUCGUAACAAGGUCUCCGUAGGUGAACCUGCGGAGGGAUCAUUAACACGUAUCCAAACGUUCAAAACCCCAAACGCGCUCUUAAUUCCCACGAGAAAGGUGAUUCAUAGCCAGGUGAAAUUGCGAGAUCGAUAAAACGGUCAAGUAAUUGCUUAUGAGUCUAUUUGUUGUCCAGUAAGGGCUACCGAUAUAUCGUGGCGUAACAAAGUCACCCGAUUGCUAGUGCCACCUCGGCGUGUCGUUCUUUACCUGUCAAAAGGUAAAGUCCUGGCUAAUCCGAAGCCUAGUAAUCAUAUUAACACAAACCCCAUUUUUAUAAACAAUUACUGAACAGCUUGUUAUGUGAAAGCAUGCAAGUUACUACGAAACAAUGAACAACUCUUAGCAACGGAUAUCUUGGUUCUC